Long non-coding RNA from Danio aesculapii, 2208 nucleotides. RefSeq lists it as uncharacterized. The transcript has 4 exons. The record is from RefSeq and is a predicted model, not a curated record. NCBI's taxonomy places the organism in Eukaryota, Metazoa, Chordata, Actinopteri, Cypriniformes, Danionidae.
UGUGCUUCAUCUGCACGCGUAUAUUCAGCUCUUUCUGCCUUUAUUUAAACACCGAUGAGACUUUAAGCUGCACUCUGUGGAUUAGUAAAGCUUGUGGAGUAAAUCAAACGACUUGAGCAUCAGACAGUAUAAGCAUGUGCCAAAAGCGUGUCAGCGAUGUUGAGCUCAUCUUCAGCCCAUACAGGGACGGCAGCGUGUGAAGCGCUCAGCAGAGAUUCAGAGAUGAUCUGAGCUUCACUGAUGUCCAGCGGCUUUACUGGGGGAUGGAGGAGCCGGGGUGUGUGUGAGAAGCCGGACGAGAGAGAGAUCUACGGUGUGUGUGUGAAUCAUGAGCAGUAAAGCUGUGAAAAAUACACUAAGAUGGAUCUGACCUGCUGAUGAGGUCAUCUGAAGACUCGAUGAUAUCACUUCCCAUGGAGCAGAACAGGAAGACUCCCUCGUUCAUGAACAGCGUUCCACUCAAACACUGACGGCGGGAGGAAAAAACAGCAUUAAUGUUUGCAUCUGCUUUUAUGAGUCUGUUCAUGUUUUUACUGACGUCCAGUGUAGAAAUUAAAAACAUUAGUAUAUAAUAGCUGAUUAAUUUCACACACACAAAUAGAGAUGCACACGUACGCACAAAUACACGCACACACACAUAAAAGCACACAAAUAUAUGUAGACAUACAAAUAUAUAUAAAUAUAUAUGGACACAAAUACACUCAAAACACACAAAUGCACGCAUAAAUUAAAGCACAAACACGCACUCAAAUACACACACACACCUAAAUGGACACAUAAGUACACACACAAAUAUAUAUGCAGACAUACACAUACAGUUGAAUCCAGACGUUUACAUACACACUAAAAAAAGGAACAUAAUAAUCUUUUUAAAAAUGUCUGAUGGUAAAUCAGACUGUGUUUACUAUUUUAGGUCCGUUAUGAUUACCUAAAUGAUUUACAUUUGAUAAAUGCCAGAAUAAUGAGAGAAUUUCAUUUUCAGAAUGUUUAAUUAAUUUUAGAUAGCUAAAAGUUUACACACAUUUCUUUGGUAUAUUUUAGCUUUGCUUUUAAACUGUAUAACUUUGGUCAGAUGUUUUGGGCCUCCUUCCACAAGCUUCUCACAAUAGUUUGAAGGAGUUUUGGCCCAUUCCUCCUGACAGAAUUGGUGUAACCAAGUCAGAUUUCUAGACUAGUCUUGCUCGCACAAGCUUUUUCAACUCUGCCCACAAAUUCUCUAUAGGGUUGAGAUCAGGGCUUUGUGAUGGCCACUCCAAAACAUUCACUCUGCUGUCCUUAAAGCACAUUUGACCUAAUCUGGCAGUAUGCUUAGGGUCAUGGUCUGUUAGGAAGACCCAUUUGUGGCCGAGUUUUAAUUUCCUGGCUGAUGUCUUGAGAUGUUGCUUCAGUAUUUCUACAUCAUGUUCUUUCCUCAUGCACUUUCCAUCUAUGCUGUGAAGUGGACCAGUCCCUCCUGCAGCAAAACAGCCCCACAAUGCUGCCGCCCCAAUACUUCACAGUUGGGAUGGUGUUUAUAGGCUUGUAAGCUUUCUCCUUUGUCCUCCAAAUGUAAAACUGGUCAUUAUGGCCAAACAGUUCAAUCUUAGCUCCAUCAGACCACAGGACAUGUCUCCAAACAUUAGUCUUUUUCCCAGUGUAAUUUAGCUAAUUGUAAUUCGGCUUUAUUGUUGACUCUGGCUUGUUGAUUUUCCCAUGUUGUCACACAAGGAAGCAGUGUGUUUGAGCUUUUCCUUAAAUACUAUUCUACAGUUGUGCCUCCAAUUAACUCAAAUGUUGUCAAUUAGCCAAUCAGAAACUUCCAAAACCUUGACACCAUCAGCUGAGCUUUUUCAGAGGCAGAAUAAUCUUAUUGUGUGUAAACUUGACUUUCAAUUAAAGUUCUCUCAAAAAAUCUCUCUCAUUAUUCUACUAUUAAUCAUAAACAGAAACACGUGAUAAUCCUGACUUACCUAAAAGAGAAAAAGUUUAGUCACAUUAACAUCUGACAUUUUUUUAAAUGGUUUAUGUGCCUUUUUAUACAGUGUGUGUUAACUUCUGCUUUCAACUGUACACACACACACACACACACACACACACACAAAUAUACUCACACACACACACAAUAAAAUCUGCAAAUCAAUAUUUCACUAACACUACACCAGUAAUCAAGUGCGCAUUUAAAUUACAAUUAUCACUUAAACCUGUCUGUACUGGAGUCUGAUUUGUCAA